This 381-nucleotide ribosomal RNA is filed under the name uncultured eukaryote. Its description in RNAcentral is "SSU rRNA". It matches the Rfam family "Eukaryotic small subunit ribosomal RNA", at positions 587 to 972 of the family's 1831-position model. The record is from RNAcentral.
AGCUCCAAUAGCGUAUAUUAAAGUUGUUGCUGUUAAAAAGCUCGUAGUUGAACUUGUGGUUUAUGUCGUGUGCCCAGCACUCGUUGUUGGUUGUGCAUGGCAUUGCCAUCCCUGGGUGGAAUCUGUUUGGCAUUAGGUUGUCGGGCAGGGGAUACCCACCAUUUACUGUGAAAAAAUUAGAGUGUUCAAAGCAGGCUUACGCCUUUGAAUAUAUUAGCAUGGAAUAAUUAGAUAGGACUUUGGUACUAUUUUGUUGGUUUGCGCACCAAGGUAAUGAUUAAUAGGGUCAGUUGGGGGUAUCCGUAUUCCAUUGUCAGAGGUGAAAUUCUUGGAUUUUUGGAAGACGAACUACUGCGAAAGCAUUUACCAAGGAUGUUUUCA